RNAcentral lists this ribosomal RNA (465 nucleotides) under uncultured Klebsiella sp. RNAcentral's name for it is "bacterial SSU rRNA". It matches the Rfam family "Bacterial small subunit ribosomal RNA", at positions 338 to 795 of the family's 1533-position model. Lineage: Bacteria; Pseudomonadati; Pseudomonadota; Gammaproteobacteria; Enterobacterales; Enterobacteriaceae. The record is from RNAcentral.
CCUACGGGCGGCAGCAGUGGGGAAUAUUGCACAAUGGGCGCAAGCCUGAUGCAGCCAUGCCGCGUGUGUGAAGAAGGCCUUCGGGUUGUAAAGCACUUUCAGCGGGGAGGAAGGCGGUGAGGUUAAUAACCUCAUCGAUUGACGUUACCCGCAGAAGAAGCACCGGCUAACUCCGUGCCAGCAGCCGCGGUAAUACGGAGGGUGCAAGCGUUAAUCGGAAUUACUGGGCGUAAAGCGCACGCAGGCGGUCUGUCAAGUCGGAUGUGAAAUCCCCGGGCUCAACCUGGGAACUGCAUUCGAAACUGGCAGGCUAGAGUCUUGUAGAGGGGGGUAGAAUUCCAGGUGUAGCGGUGAAAUGCGUAGAGAUCUGGAGGAAUGCCGGUGGCGAAGGCGGCCCCCUGGACAAAGACUGACGCUCAGGUGCGAAAGCGUGGGGAGCAAACAGGAUUAGAUACCCUUGUAGUC